Molecule: transfer RNA, 76 nt
Filed under: Paenibacillus macerans
Lineage: Bacteria; Bacillati; Bacillota; Bacilli; Caryophanales; Paenibacillaceae
Also listed under: 36 other names
Description: tRNA-Val
Rfam family: tRNA
About the family: Transfer RNA (tRNA) molecules are approximately 80 nucleotides in length. Their secondary structure includes four short double-helical elements and three loops (D, anti-codon, and T loops). Further hydrogen bonds mediate the characteristic L-shaped molecular structure. tRNAs have two regions of fundamental functional importance: the anti-codon, which is responsible for specific mRNA codon recognition, and the 3' end, to which the tRNAs corresponding amino acid is attached (by aminoacyl-tRNA synthetases). tRNAs cope with the degeneracy of the genetic code in two manners: having more than one tRNA (with a specific anti-codon) for a particular amino acid; and 'wobble' base-pairing, i.e. permitting non-standard base-pairing at the 3rd anti-codon position.
Source: RNAcentral
GGAGGCUUAGCUCAGCUGGGAGAGCAUCUGCCUUACAAGCAGAGGGUCAGCGGUUCGAUCCCGUUAGCCUCCACCA